Panicum virgatum (switchgrass) is the source of this 8346-nucleotide long non-coding RNA. RefSeq lists it as uncharacterized. Lineage: Eukaryota; Viridiplantae; Streptophyta; Magnoliopsida; Poales; Poaceae. The transcript is spliced from 2 exons. The record is from RefSeq and is a predicted model, not a curated record.
CACGGGAGGUAAUCAGGGGACCAUCCCCUCUAUAUAAGCCCACCUUGAUGGGUUAUACCACCCAGGAUGGUUGAAGAAGCUCAGCCAGUAGGAUAUAUAGCCCUCCCAGAUCUGGCCGGCUGCUUCCGCGCGCCUUCCUUCGUCCCCAAUUCGGGAAAGCCGACGACGAUAUGAAGAGUCUGGGUAACAUCGUUUGGUUCCUAUAUCUCUCUCCGAUCCCCCUUUUAGUGCUCUCUCUUCGUGUCGAGUUCUUUGUUGCGGCUGCUUGGCCCUUUGCAGCUCGUCGAGGAUGGCGCUGGACAUGGUGGUGAUGUUGUGGCUGACAGAAGAGAGUGAGCACACAGCGGGCCAGACUGCAUCUGAAUACGGCUGCUUCAAAGACGACGGGGCAUGGAUAGAUGCAGCUGCUGUUGCGUGCUCACUUCUCUCUGUCAGCUCUCUCUCCUCCUCGGGACUUGUUCCGCCGCAUCCAUCUCCCCCCUCGGCCCCCCUGCGGCACCGCUGCGUCGUAGUCGUGCAGACGUUCUCGCAUCGGUCGCCGUGGCCGUCUUGGCACUGUUCGUCCUGAGGCGCCUGCCGGCCUUGCCGUGUCCCCACCUGCAACCUUAUCUCCUCCUCGGAUUUCAGGAAGCGCCGCGCGCAUGCACGCCAUGGAUCCUCGCGCCGCCCGCGUUUCUUUUCUCGGCGAGGUUGUCGUUGCUGUCUUUGUGGCUUCCGAUGAUGGAUUAUUAGCAGGGGCCUUCAGCCUUGGGGGAGGAGGACGCGUGAUGGUUUGAUUAACACCUGGCUUUGCUCGCCUCCCCAGGUGUGCUUAACGGAAAGCACUGUUUGACUAGUCCUUGCUACCCCUUCUCCCUCCUCUCUCACUUAUCUACUCUUUUCUCUUCCUUUCCGUAAAGAUAUCACAGCAAAAACUGGAUCUUUUUGCCCUGUUGUUUUGCUCAUCUCAUGUGGUGCUCUGAGUGUUGGGAAGUAGGUGGAGCCGUGGAGGCAGCCAUGAAGACGGUGGUCGGAGGCAGAUCUGCGAGGUGGCGAGGUGCAAGUGGAAAGAGAGGCGGGCACCUACCGCCGCCGCCGGCGACUACCAGAUCUGGAAAUAAUAUUUCUUCCCCGGCCGGCGAGUCCAUGCUUCUUCCUCUCUCGUCCUAGUUUCUACUAAAGUGUGUGCAUGCCUCCUCCUACCUGAUCUAUUUGUGGUAUUGUGCUUAUAUUGUUACUUGCCUUGUUUUAGAGUUUUUUCGUGGAUGAUUGAUUUCGUCUCUGAGGGCGAUUGGGGAUUUUGCAUCUCAUGGCGCAUUCAUACGUGUGUUAUGAGCUAGCUAAGAGUUUCUUGUUGUCAAUUCGAUUUUCAGUCAUGAAAUUGUUUGUCUCUGGUGUUCAGUUUAUCUCUUGCAUGUGUGUUGUUCUUAAUUCGAGUUAACCGGUGUCAAUCUUCCAGAUAAUAUAGGCUUAGUUAACCUUAGGUUCUAGCUUAUCUACUCUGAUGCCCACCUAAUCUGCUUAAUUUAUGGCCUGUUUUUAUCAGUCCUUUGUAUGAUCUCCCAUCUGGGAAAUUCGUUGUAGUACAGUGCAACACAUGGUCGUUUUAUUGUAUGCAGAAUUGAGGGCUUGUUGAACCCAUUGAUUGGAACAAUCAACUCCUAGGAUUUCAUACUACUAUAUGCAAUACUACUUCCUUUACUUGCAAGCAUGUAUUAUUUUUUCAGUGCUUUAUAUAUCAUUUGUUGUAUCCUUCAACUCUGCGCCGGCCAUCUCCAUUUAUUUCCACUCUAGUGUAAAACUAUAGUCGGGGUCCUCCAAGCUGUUGCUGCAUGCUACCACAAUGCUAUUGUAAUUCAUUAGUUUAAGUACAGAAAUUGCUGCUAGCCUCAAAAUAUAUUUAUUUAAAUGUAUCAUUUGCAUGCACUUCUGUGUGUGAUGCAAGUGCAAAACCUGUAGUUUGUUGCUGUAUGCAUGACACAUUGUGUUUAAGAUGUCGCUCAUUAUUUUUUUACUGAUGAAGUUUCAGCUAGCAACAGCAAAGAUAUAUUUUUUACCUUGGUCAUAUAAAAUUAAACGGAAGUUAAUAAACCCCACAUAUAAGGAUCACUGCUUACUUUCAGUUUUAAUUGUAUGUUAUAUUGGCAUAUAUAUUUGAACACCAUAAACUGGAAAAAGAUAAAAUUUGGAUGGAGCUUAUGAUGCUUGUGGUUAUAUAAGGCUUUACAAAUUUUCUUGACAAUAUCUAACAGAUUAAGUUUCUAAUAAUGGCGUUGUGGGCACUCUAGCUUCUAACAGUUUUCUAUCAAAAUUAACCAGUGUCCAUAUUAGUUCCUCUUGCAACUGUAGCAUUGCAUUAAAUUAUUCCAUUCUGAGAGUUAAGUAGUAGUGACAAAUUCCUUAGCAGAACAAGGAGAUAAGGUGCUGGUUGCAGCCUCUGCUCCUGAAUCUGAUUGAAAUCUCAAUUAUAAAAAUAUGUUUAACUUGCAACAGACACUGGAUCUAGGUAGCUCCAUUUCCCAGUAGAUUUUACAGGGCUUUUGAACAGGAAAAUGCUCAUGUCAAAAGACAAUACAUACGCUGCAAAGUCUAUUUUUAUCAACUUGGAUAUUGAUGUCCAUAUUUACUAAUCAAAUAACCGCCACUUAUUGCACCUUCAUUAUCACCAUACUUGCAGUUCCAGCAAAAUCACCAUUUGCUCCUCCCCGUACCUUUUUACCCUACUAAUUCAUGCAGUGUAUUGUUUAGGUGAUGUUGGCUGAUUUGUACAUUAAUUAUGCAUUUUUGGUUCUUAGCUGGCUUUUGGACAUUAUUUUAUUUGAUAUAAAUAAUGAGCCGUAAUUGAUAUUAACUAACAAAACCAUUCUAUUUUGUUGACUUGUGCCACUCAACUAUUAUGUUUUGAUGCAAAUCAGUCAUCUAAGUCCAAUUUAAUUAUUUGAGGCCCCAUAUCAUCCAUAGCAUAGAUGUUAAUGCAAAUGAGGAUUGUAAAUUAGAUUUUAGAUAGCUGAAAUCAUAUGGAGUCCAAAAAAGUAGAUAAAUAUAAUUAUAAGCUCUAGUCCACCUAACUACUGUGAGAAAAAUCAAACCUAAAAUGAUUCUACAUUCAAUUUUUUGGCACACAUUCAGUAUAACAUAUAUACACGUCAUGGUGGUAAUAUCCUAAAAUGGUAUCUCAAGUUCUUUUUUGUUUGUCAUUUUAGCUUUAUGUGCACUGAUAAGAUAAGGUGCUAUAUGUCCUUCUGUUACAUCAGUUUUUCUCCUCAAUGCCCAUGAUGACUGAAAUGAGCAACAAAAUUGAGCCUUGGAAAUGUAUCAAACAUUGUAUGGAAUAUGUGCAGGUAGCUAUAUUAUAUAUCUUCUUGAAGUCUGCCAAAGGAAAAAAAAACUAAUAACAACCUGCAAAUGACAAAAAGAAAAAGAGCUGAAGUAGUCUUGUUUGUAGGUAAAAUAAAUUAAUAAUCUUGUUGGAUCUUGGUAAAGUUAUGAACUAGAUCCAAGAAGCGCCCAAUGUGGUACUGAUGAAUAGGAUAGAAAGAGCAACAUGAUAUGUACCAAAUGAAGUGUUUGGACCAAACAUGUAAAUAUGAGGUUUUUAACAACUGUGAAAAAGAUAUUUUGGAAUCAGUAUUUUAGUUUGAUUUCCUGGUUGUCUAUAACUUAACUUUAAGCAAAGAGUUAUCUAGAUUAUCCAAAUGGUAAAAAUAGCUCUCUGCCGUCAUAUUUCCUAUUAUGUCAUUUGAAAAUUGUUGAUGGUGUUGGCCCUUUUUUUGUACCAUUUAUGCUAAUAGCAAUCCAAUAUUAUGGCCUCCAACUCUCACUUGGAUCUCUCAUCUGUAUUUUUUUUGCCAUUGUUGUGAUAAUAUUGGUAAUAUUGUGAAAUCAUUAUGUAUCAUAUGUUGGUAUAAGGAUCUUAACAAACACAUUUAAGUUUUAGUCUAUAUGGUACGACGAGCCGCCGAGUAGUGCGCAUGGGAGAAUGCAAGAGCAGCUGGGACUGAGGAAGGAAACGUAGAGUGUAGCGAGAGCAUUGGACGAGCGCCGGCGGAUUGUCUUCGUCACCGGCAAGGACAAGUUCCUCGUCCGUGACCUAAGUCAGCUCGCGCCAAUGAACGGGAGGUCUUUAUUCUUUGAUAAUCUUGAUUACAAGCUAGGUGGUAACCUUUAUAGAUUAGGUCCCGAUCAAGCUAGAUGCUAACAACUUCCUAACAAUGCUGAAACAAACUCCUAACUUCUCCCGUAAAAGCAGCACCUGAAGUCGGCUCUAGCCACGUUGCUGUUGCGACUGUUGCCGUUUGUUGCGGCGCCGAUAGUGCCUGCCAACAAAUGCGUCGACAACAUUUCCUCCCUCCCCGCGGAACAGCUCAUCCUCGAGCUGCCACUGAGCGUAGAGCUUGACAAAAUCCUCCAACAGAUCCCACGUAGGGUCUGCAGCAGGAUGACUCACCCAGUGCACCAGCAGCUGCCACACGCCAUGGUUCAACCUGGCGCAGAUGAUCUUCUCGGGCGUAGGCAGCGGCGGAACUGAUAUCGGCGGCGUGCCCUCAAAUUAAUUUCUUGAGGAGGCCGACGUGGAAGACAUCAUGUAUCUUGGCGUUGUCCGAUAGCUGCAGCCGAUAGGCCACGUUCCCGAUGCACUCCACCACCUGGAAUGGCUCGUAGAAGCGUUGGGCCAGCUUUGUUCGGCGACUGGCCGUGAUGCUGGAUGCCGCCCUGUGAUGCAGGCGCAGCCACGCCCACUUACCCACAAUGAACUCGACGUCGCGCCGGUGUUUGUCAUGCAUCGCCUUCAUGUCAUCUUGUGCAAGGAGGAGACGGUCCCGUAUCUCCUUCAGGAACUUGUCGCGGUCCUGGAGCUAACAGCCACCCGUGCUGACCCUGGUGAGUAGUGAAGUAGCACCGGCAGGGGACGGUCGUAAACGACCUGGAACGGCAUGGCGCGCAGGGCCGUCUGGUAGGACGAGUUGAAGCAAAAAUCGGCCCACAGGAGCCACUGCAGCCAGGAGCAUGGUCGAUCACCUGCCAAACACCGCAAGUACAUGGCGAUCGUACGGUUAGCCACCUCGGAUUGCCCAUCCGUCUGUGGGUGGAACGCAGAGCUCAUCAGCAGCUUGACGCCGGCGAGGCGGAACAACUCAGCUUAGAAGUUGCUGGUGAUGACAAGGUCACGGUCACUGACAAUGGACGUUGGAAACCUGUGGAGGCGCACGAUGUUGGUGAAGAAUGCUCGGGCGACGGACGCGGCAGUGUAGGGGUGGCCGAGCGUGAUGAAGUGCGCGAACUUGGAGAAGCGAUCCACCACCGUGAGGACCACCGACUUGGCCCCCACCUUUGGGAAGCCCUCGACGAAGUCCAUGGAUAUGUCGCUCCAUAUCUCCCGUGGCACCGGGAGGGGCUACAGGAGUCUGGCCGGGUGCAAGUGCUCGAACUUGUUCCGUUGGCACACCACGCAACCCUGGAUUACUUGCUCACGAGUCGAAUAAGGUGGGCGUUGUAGAAGGAUUUCCGCAGCCGGUGCACCGUCUUUUGGACGCCCUCACGGCCCUAUCUCGUGUGCCUCGGCCAGAAGACGUGGCCAAGCGACGAGUCAUCGGGAAUGUAGAUAUUCCCACAAAACAGCAAGAGGCCAUCCGCCGUGGUCCAGGCCGUCGGGCACCGAGCCGGCCGCGACUUGUGCGAGCAGCUCCUGGGCGGCAGGGUUCUCGCCCAAUUCAGCUCGCAGCUCCUCGUACGCCGAGAACGCCGGCAUGAAAACGGCUUGGAUAGCCAGGCCCUCCUCGUUGCGGCGGGACAGCGCAUCUGCCGUCGCAUUUUGCCAGCCCGGCCUGAACUCCACAGCGAUGUCGGAGCCGAACCACUUCGACCCCUAGGUGUGCUGGGGAAUGGAGGUGAGGCGUUGGUCGAGGAUGUACUUGAUGCUCCAAUGGUCGGUGCGGACGGUGAACGGGCGGCCCCAAAGGUACGACCUCCAGUUUCGGACAGCCUUGACCAACCUGAUGAGCUCGUGCUCGAACGCCGGCAGCUUGUCAUGCUGCGGAGCCACCGCACGUCUGAAGAACAUGAACGCCGAUGAAUGGGAUAACUUUAUUCUUCGAUAAUCCUGAUUUCAAGCUAGGUGGUGACCUUUAUAGAUUAGGUCCUGAUCAAGCUAGCUGCUAACAACUUCCUAACAAUGCUGAAACAAACUCCUAACUUCUCCUGUAAAAGCAGCACCGGAAGUCGGCUCUAGCCAUGUUGCUGAUGCAGCUGUUGCCGUUUGUUGCGCCGCCGGUAGUGCCUGCCAACAAACGCGUCGACAACAUAGUAUUCCCUUUAGUUCCAAAUAUACCCUUAGUAAAAGUCAGCGUGCAAUUGUUAGACCUUCAUACAUUUCCCAUAGGUUGUAUCUAAUAGAAAAAAAAGUUAACAGCUUUUGUAGCUGUGUGUGCAACGAGGACACAAGGUCAGUCAUUUUGCUUACUACAAUUUCUCUUGCAAAAUUUUAAUCAUUAUAUAUUUAGAAUUCGAGGUACAUGUAGUUUAACUAGUUGCAUGGUUUGAUUUAAAAACGUUUUGCAUUAACAUUUUUCUAUUUUCAUGACAAUUUGUUGAUCAUGUAGACAGAAACCAAUUAACAAAUUCAACAUAUGGGCUCUAAUAAUUAAGAAUUAGAUAUUGAAGAGCUUGGUUGAGGGUUGAGAAUUUACAGUGCACCCACAAAUAAUGUAAUUAGCAAGAUUUAUUGAGCAUAUGCCUAAGCAAGUUACAUAUAUUUUUAAUGCAGUGUGAAUCAAAAUAUCAAAUUCAGGUUAUGAAGAGUAAAUUUAUUGGAUGGGUAUAAGUAAAGUUGGUGUCAACAUAAAUAAUAUGAUAUGAUAACCAGCUUUCUUUGUCAAAUAUUUCUAUAUAUGCAACAAAAUUUUCACUUCACUCUGUACACACAAGUUACUUCAUAUUUUUGUUAGGGUCUCUCUAGCAUUUAUGUACUCUUGUAUAUAAUUAGAUGAUUAAUAUUUGAAAAAGACAUUUUAUAUAGCUUACUAUCCAUUGUUUAUGGAACAAUAUAGUGUAUAUAGAGAUUGAUCGACAAUAAGUUCAUGUAGUACUAUUGAAGAUGGUAUAAUGUAGUAUAAGAUAAUAAAUUAUAAGAUCAUGUCUAAAUUAGUUUCUCUUUGUGCCUAGUUAUUAUGGGGUGCUUAAGGAGACAAGCUCCUACUGCCUCUGUUGUUUUAGAACUAUUUAGUAGGUAUGUAAUUUUUGUUCUGUUGGCUAAAACAACAUUUAGUACCUUGCAUGUGAUCUAGUACUGUUAAGGUAGCCUAUUAUAUAUAGUUAUAUAUAGAACCUUAUAUGGAUACUGAUCAUACACAUGUAUGACUAAUUUCUAGAACUGACUGACUUGACCAAACAAUUUAUUUUGGAAGGCAUUUUCUAAUUAGCCUUGUAAGAAGGUGAAAUAUUAUUAUUGCUAACAAUUUUCUUGAUAUUGUGCUUUUUGUAUACUAUGAGCGUAAUUAAUCACUAUCGCACUCAAAAAGUCAAUUUAUGAUGUAUUCUGUUUUUGGUUGAUCACAUAUCCCAUAUUGUAAUUUUUUUUAUCAUUUGGGCACAUGGUCAACUACUUAGGUAGGCCGCACUUUUCCAUCUGUGGUCACUCGUGAAUUUAUGGCUAAAGGAAUACAUGAAGCUGGGCAAAUGUAUUUUUAUAUCAGAUAAAAGGAAGGUUUUUUGAUAGCUUGCAUACUGCAUACAUCAUUAAGUAUAUUGUCUGCAAGCAGCAGCCCUCAUAUUAUCACAUAUAUAUUUGUAGGUGCCUUGAAGAUUGCGGACGAAGCAUUUCCUAGUCUGGUAUGGUAUACACCCAAUAUAUAUAUUGUGAGUGUGAACUACGUUCUUUUGCAGGGUUAGGUGGAAGGGUCUGUGUGCCUGGGACCCAGCUGCCUGUGGCGAAAUGCACUUGCUCAAACUGUCAUGUUCCAGGCGCAAGAUGCCAAGACACAUAUACGGACAAACCUGGACAUUUGGAAGAUCCCGCUACAAAUAAAUGUGUUUUCUGCUCCCAAGAGACAGAAUCAUAUUUCAUAUGCAGUGUCAUAAUCUUGCAUAGGAAGCCAUGCAUGAAGAUCAGGAUCGGAGCUUUCAACUCACCUAUUCUUCUAUUAGCAAUGAUGCGAACUGGAAGCAUUUUCUUUUGUUUUCUUUUUGUUUUCAUUGUUGUCACUGCACCGAGAGAACUUCAAUCAUAUUUUUGUGGCUUGUAAAUUGCAAUAUCCUGAAACUGCAAGUCUGCAACCCUUCAAGUUUCUGUUGAAGGAUCAGUGUGCUACAUCAAGGAAUGAAGUUUCAAGUUCAUAUGUUGUUUUGAUUAUGUAAACGUAGCUUUGGAAA